Molecule: non-coding RNA, 74 nt
Organism: Volvox carteri f. nagariensis
Lineage: Eukaryota; Viridiplantae; Chlorophyta; Chlorophyceae; Chlamydomonadales; Volvocaceae
Source: Rfam
GCUCUGGUUAGCUCAGUCGGUAGAGCGCACGGCUGUUAACCGUAAGGUCGACGGUUCGAUCCCGUCAUCGAGCG